CUGCGGAGGGAUCAUUACCGAGUUUACAACUCCCAAACCCAAUGUGAACGUUACCAAACUGUUGCCUCGGCGGGAUCUCUGCCCCGGGUGCGUCGCAGCCCCGGACCAAGGCGCCCGCCGGAGGACCAACCAAAACUCUUUUUGUAUACCCCCUCGCGGGUUUUUUAUAAUCUGAGCCUUCUCGGCGCCUCUCGUAGGCGUUUCGAAAAUGAAUCAAAACUUUCAACAACGGAUCUCUUGGUUCUGGCAUCGAUGAAGAACGCAGCGAAAUGCGAUAAGUAAUGUGAAUUGCAGAAUUCAGUGAAUCAUCGAAUCUUUGAACGCACAUUGCGCCCGCCAGUAUUCUGGCGGGCAUGCCUGUCCGAGCGUCAUUUCAACCCUCGAACCCCUCCGGGGGGUCGGCGUUGGGGAUCGGCCCUGCCUCUUGGCGGUGGCCGUCUCCGAAAUACAGUGGCGGUCUCGCCGCAGCCUCUCCUGCGCAGUAGUUUGCACACUCGCAUCGGGAGCGCGGCGCGUCCACAGCCGUUAAACACCCAACUUCUGAAAUGUUGACCUCGGAUCAGGUAGGAAUACCCGCUGAACUUAAGCAUAUCAAUA
RNAcentral lists this ribosomal RNA (597 nucleotides) under Trichoderma sp. LCF98. RNAcentral's name for it is "eukaryotic LSU rRNA". The stretch from base 218 to 371 matches the Rfam family "5.8S ribosomal RNA". The record is from RNAcentral. Lineage: Eukaryota; Fungi; Ascomycota; Sordariomycetes; Hypocreales; Hypocreaceae.